This is a long non-coding RNA of Anguilla anguilla (European eel), 207 nucleotides long. RefSeq lists it as uncharacterized. Lineage: Eukaryota; Metazoa; Chordata; Actinopteri; Anguilliformes; Anguillidae. The transcript is spliced from 3 exons. The record is from RefSeq and is a predicted model, not a curated record.
AAUAUCCGUAUUAGUAGGUCUAAUGUGUUGCGAAAUGAUCUCGACAGCUGAAUGUUUUGUUCCGUUUCGCUCAUAUCGCUUUCUCACAGAGGGACAGUAGUUCAACUAUUCUCUGAAAAUGUUUGCCUCCGCGUUUAUUCUCUCAUUACUGAUAGCACUGCAGCUUUCUUCUUCUUUGGCUGUAGUGGAGUGAAUCAGCUGGUGUUG